UACGGAGGGUGCAAGCGUUGUCCGGAUUUACUGGGCGUAAAGGGCGUGUAGGCGGGACUGUAAGUCGUUGGUGAAAUGUGCGGGCUCAACCCGCACACUGCCUUCGAUACUGCGGUUCUUGAGUGCAGGAGAGGAUAGUGGAAUUCUCGGUGUAGCGGUGGAAUGCGCAGAUAUCGAGAGGAACACCCGUGGCGAAAGCGGCUAUCUGGCCUGACACUGACGCUAAGGCGCGAAAGCAUGGGGAGCAAACAGG
This 253-nucleotide ribosomal RNA is filed under the name uncultured bacterium. RNAcentral describes it as "partial 16S ribosomal RNA". It matches the Rfam family "Bacterial small subunit ribosomal RNA", at positions 524 to 776 of the family's 1533-position model. The record is from RNAcentral.